AUACGUAGGUGGCGAGCGUUGUCCGGAAUUACUGGGCGUAAAGGGCGUGUAGGCGGGAAUUUAAGUCAGAUGUGAAAACCCCGGGCUUAACUUGGGGACUGCAUUUGAUACUGGAUUUCUUGAGGACAGGAGAGGAAAGCGGAAUUCCUAGUGUAGCGGUGAAAUGCGUAGAUAUUAGGAGGAACACCAGUGGCGAAGGCGGCUUUCUGGACUGUAACUGACGCUGAGGCGCGAAAGCGUGGGUAGCGAACGGGAUUAGAUACCCCGGUAGUCCACGCCGUAAACGAUGGGUACUAGGUGUAGGAGGUAUCGACCCCUUCUGUGCCGGAGUUAACGCAAUAAGUACCCCGCCUGGGGAGUACGGCCGCAAGGUUGAA
RNAcentral lists this ribosomal RNA (377 nucleotides) under uncultured bacterium. RNAcentral describes it as "bacterial SSU rRNA". It matches the Rfam family "Bacterial small subunit ribosomal RNA", at positions 523 to 898 of the family's 1533-position model. The record is from RNAcentral.